AGCUCCUAACUGAACUUUAACUUGAAUAAAGUGGAUCAUCAGGAAGUUAAAGGAGCAGUGAAGGAAACCAAGGAGAUUCUGAAGCUAUGCUAAGUGAGACUGUUUCUGCCAAAUGAUAAAAAGUUGGACUGUUUGGAGUUAAAGUCAGAGGACCAUGCAUUUACUGUGAUGUGUGGAAGUCCAAAAAUCUACUCGACCUUUUUAGGAUCAAUCACAGAAAAGCCACAAGGAGGAGAU
Molecule: long non-coding RNA, 237 nt
Filed under: Dromaius novaehollandiae (emu)
Lineage: Eukaryota; Metazoa; Chordata; Aves; Casuariiformes; Dromaiidae
Description: lncRNA (ENSDNVG00000015845.1)
Source: RNAcentral